RNAcentral lists this ribosomal RNA (253 nucleotides) under uncultured bacterium. Its description in RNAcentral is "partial 16S ribosomal RNA". It matches the Rfam family "Bacterial small subunit ribosomal RNA", at positions 524 to 776 of the family's 1533-position model. The record is from RNAcentral.
UACGGGGGGUGCGAGCGUUGUCCGGAAUCACUGGGCGUAAAGGGCGCGUAGGUGGUCUGAUAAGGGUGUGGUGAAAGUCCGGGGCUCAACCCCGGAUCUGCCGUGCCGACUGUCAGACUCGAGGACUGUAGAGGCAGGCGGAAUUCCGGGUGUAGCGGUGGAAUGCGUAGAGAUCGGGAGGAACACCAGUGGCGAAGGCGGCCUUCUGGACCAAUACUGACGCUCAUGCACGAAAGCGUGGGGAGCAAACAGG